RNAcentral lists this ribosomal RNA (119 nucleotides) under Pteropus alecto (black flying fox). Lineage: Eukaryota; Metazoa; Chordata; Mammalia; Chiroptera; Pteropodidae. The record is from RNAcentral.
GUCUACGGCCAUGCUACCCUGAACAAGCCCGAUCCUAUCUGAACUUGAAAACUAAGCAGGGUCAGGCCUGGUUAGUACUUGAAUGAGAGACCACCUCUGAAGACUAGGUGCUGUAGGCA